CGGACGGGGGAGUAAUGUCUGGGAAACUGCCCGAUGGAGGGGGGUAACUACUGGAAACGGUAGCUAAUACCGCAUAACGUCGCAAGACCAAAGAGGGGACCUCGGGCCUCUUGCCAUCGGAUGUGCCCAGAUGGGAUUAGCUAGUAGGUGGGGUAACGGCUCACCUAGGCGACGAUCCCUAGCUGGUCUGAGAGGAUGACCAGCCACACUGGAACUGAGACACGGUCCAG
Molecule: ribosomal RNA, 230 nt
Filed under: uncultured bacterium
Lineage: Bacteria
Description: partial 16S ribosomal RNA
Rfam family: Bacterial small subunit ribosomal RNA
Source: RNAcentral